UUGACCUCGGAUCAGGUAGGGAUACCCGCUGAACUUAAGCAUAUCAAUAAGCGGAGGAAAAGAAACCAACAGGGAUUGCCUCAGUAACGGCGAGUGAAGCGGCAACAGCUCAAAUUUGAAAUCUGGUUCCCCUUGGAGCCCGAGUUGUAAUUUGUAGAAGAUGCUUUGAGUGUGGUUCCGGUCUAAGUUCCUUGGAACAGGACGUCAUAGAGGGUGAGAAUCCCGUACGUGACUGGGUGCCUUCGCUCGUGUAAAGCUCUUUCGACGAGUCGAGUUGUUUGGGAAUGCAGCUCAAAAUGGGUGGUAAAUUUCAUCUAAAGCUAAAUAUUGGCCAGAGACCGAUAGCGCACAAGUAGAGUGAUCGAAAGAUGAAAAGCACUUUGGAAAGAGAGUUAAACAGUACGUGAAAUUGUUGAAAGGGAAGCGCUUGUAACCAGACUUGCACGCUGUUGAUCAUCCGAGGUUUUCCCCGGUGCACUCGGCAGCGUUCAGGCCAGCAUCGGUUUUGGUGGGCGGAUAAAGGCCUUGGGAAUGUAGCUUCUUUCGGGGAGUGUUAUAGCCCUCGGUGCAAUGCGCCCUGCCGGGACCGAGGACCGCGCUCGGC
RNAcentral lists this ribosomal RNA (604 nucleotides) under uncultured Helotiales. Its description in RNAcentral is "eukaryotic LSU rRNA". It matches the Rfam family "Eukaryotic large subunit ribosomal RNA", at positions 1 to 606 of the family's 3401-position model. Lineage: Eukaryota; Fungi; Ascomycota; Leotiomycetes; Helotiales. The record is from RNAcentral.